GGGGAAUCUUCCGCAAUGGACGAAAGUCUGACGGAGCAACGCCGCGUGAACGAUGACGGCCUUCGGGUUGUAAAGUUCUGUUAUAUGGGACGAACAGGAUAACGGUCAAUACCCGUUAUCCCUGACGGUACCGUAAGAGAAAGCCACGGCUAACUACGUGCCAGCAGCCGCGGUAAUACGUAGGUGGCAAGCGUUGUCCGGAAUUAUUGGGCGUAAAGGGCGCGCAGGCGGCAUCGCAAGUCGGUCUUAAAAGUGCGGGGCUUAACCCCGUGAGGGGACCGAAACUGUGAAGCUCGAGUGUCGGAGAGGAAAGCGGAAUUCCUAGUGUAGCGGUGAAAUGCGUAGAUAUUAGGAGGAACACCAGUGGCGAAAGCGGCUUUCUGGACGACAACUGACGCUGAGGCGCGAAAGCCAGGGGAGCAAACGGGAUUAGAUACCCCGGUAGUCCUGGCCGUAAACGAUGGAUACUAGGUGUAGGAGGUAUCGACUCCUUCUGUGCCGGAGUUAACGCAAUAAGUAUCCCGCCUGGGGAGUACGGCCGCAAGGCUGAAACUCAAAGGAAUUGACGGGGGCCCGCACAAGCGGUGGAGUAUGUGGUUUAAUUCGACGCACGCGAGACUACAGCUGCUGAUG
RNAcentral lists this ribosomal RNA (633 nucleotides) under uncultured bacterium. RNAcentral describes it as "bacterial SSU rRNA". It matches the Rfam family "Bacterial small subunit ribosomal RNA", at positions 356 to 983 of the family's 1533-position model. The record is from RNAcentral.